UCAUGGCUCAGUGGCAGAGAAUCUGCUUUGCAUGCAGAAGGUCAUGCGUUCAAUCCCUGGCAUUCCCAUUUAAGGAU
This 77-nucleotide transfer RNA is filed under the name Sphaerodactylus townsendi. Its description in RNAcentral is "tRNA-Ala". Lineage: Eukaryota; Metazoa; Chordata; Lepidosauria; Squamata; Sphaerodactylidae. The record is from RNAcentral.